GACGAACGCUGGCGGCGUGCUUAACACAUGCAAGUCGAACGCUGAAGACCUGGCUUUUGUUGGGUUGGAUGAGUGGCGAACGGGUGAGUAACACGUGAGUAACCUGCCCUCUUCUUUGGGAUAACGCCCGGAAACGGGUGCUAAUACUGGAUAUUCACUGGCCUUCGCAUGGGGGUUGGUGGAAAGGUUUGUUCUGGUGGGGGAUGGGCUCGCGGCCUAUCAGCUUGUUGGUGGGGUGAUGGCCUACCAAGGCUUUGACGGGUAGCAGGCCUGAGAGGGUGACCGGUCACAUUGGGACUGAGAUACGGCCCAGACUCCUACGGGAGGCAGCAGUGGGGAAUAUUGCACAAUGGGCGAAAGCCUGAUGCAGCGACGCCGCGUGAGGGAUGGAGGCCUUCGGGUUGUAAACCUCUUUCGCUCAUGGUCAAGCCGCGACUGUGGGUUGUGGUGAGGGUAGUGGGUAAAGAAGCGCCGGCUAACUACGUG
This 486-nucleotide ribosomal RNA is filed under the name uncultured bacterium. Its description in RNAcentral is "partial 16S ribosomal RNA". It matches the Rfam family "Bacterial small subunit ribosomal RNA", at positions 28 to 507 of the family's 1533-position model. The record is from RNAcentral.